CAGUCGCCGCGGUAAUACGGAGGGUGCAAGCGUUAAUCGGAAUUACUGGGCGUAAAGCGCACGCAGGCGGUCUGACAAGUCAGAUGUGAAAUCCCCGGGCUUAACCUGGGAACUGCAUUUGAAACUGUCAGGCUGGAGUCUUGUAGAGGGGGGUGGAAUUCCAGGUGUAGCGGUGAAAUGCGUAGAGAUCUGGAGGAAUACCGGUGGCGAAGGCGGCCCCCUGGACAAAGACUGACGCUCAGGUGCGAAAGCGUGGGGAGCAAACAGGAUUAGAGACCCCGGUAGUCCCUGUCUCUUAUAA
Molecule: ribosomal RNA, 301 nt
Filed under: uncultured bacterium
Lineage: Bacteria
Description: partial 16S ribosomal RNA
Rfam family: Bacterial small subunit ribosomal RNA
Source: RNAcentral